This 397-nucleotide ribosomal RNA is filed under the name uncultured bacterium. Its description in RNAcentral is "partial 16S ribosomal RNA". It matches the Rfam family "Bacterial small subunit ribosomal RNA", at positions 523 to 918 of the family's 1533-position model. The record is from RNAcentral.
AUACGUAGGUGACAAGCGUUAUCCGGAUUUACUGGGCGUAAAGGGCGUGUAGGCGGUCUUGCAAGUCAGAAGUGAAAUUCCUGAGCUCAACUCGGGCGCUGCUUCUGAAACUGCAGGACUUGAGUGCUGGAGGGGAUAGCGGAAUUCCUAGUGGAGCGGUAAAAUGCGCAGAUAUUAGGAAGAACACCGGUGGCGAAGGCGGCGUUCUGGACAGUAACUGACGCUGAGGCGCGAAAGCGUGGGGAGAAAACAGGAUUAAAGCCCCUGGUAGUCCACGCCGUAAACGAUGAAUACUAGGUGUAGGGGGUAUCGACUCCCUCUGUGCCGCAGUUAACACAAUAAGUAUUCCGCCUGGGGAGUACGGCCGCAAGGUUGAAACUCAAAUGAAUUGACGGGG